CCUACGGGUGGCAGCAGUGAGGAAUAUUGGUCAAUGGGCGCGAGCCUGAACCAGCCAAGUCGCGUGAGGGAUGAAGGUUCUCUGGAUCGUAAACCUCUUUUAUAAGGGAAUAAAGUGUGGGACGUGUCCUAUUUUGUAUGUACCUUAUGAAUUCGGAUCGGCUAACUCCGUGCCAGCCGCCGCGGUAAUACGGUGGAUCCGUGCGUUAUCCGGAUUUAUUGGGUUUAAAGGGUGCGUAGGCGGGCUUUUAAGUCAGCGGGGAAAGUCUGUGGCGCAACCAUAGAAUUGCCGUUGAUACUGGGGAACUUGAGUAUGUUUGAGGCAGGCGGAAUGCGUGGUGUAGCGGUGAAAUGCGUAGAUAUAACGCAGAACCCCGAUUGCGAAGGCAGCCUACCAAGCCAUGACUGACGCUGAUGCACGAAAGCGUGGGGAUCAAACAGGAUUAGAUACCCGGGUAGUC
RNAcentral lists this ribosomal RNA (460 nucleotides) under uncultured bacterium. RNAcentral's name for it is "partial 16S ribosomal RNA". It matches the Rfam family "Bacterial small subunit ribosomal RNA", at positions 338 to 795 of the family's 1533-position model. The record is from RNAcentral.